CCUACGGGUGGCUGCAGUGGGGAAUAUUGGGCAAUGGGCGCAAGCCUGACCCAGCAACUCCGCGUGAAGGAAGACGGCUUUCGGGUUGUAAACCUCUUUUGACAGGGAAGAGCAGAAGACGGUACCUGUCGAAUAAGCCACGGCUAACUCCUGGCCAGCAGCCGCGGUAAUACGGAGGGGGCGAGCGUUGUCCGGAUUUACUGGGGGUAAAGGGCGUGUAGGCGGGCUGACAAGUCAGAUGUGAAAUCCGGGGGCUCAACCCCCGAACUGCAUUUGACACUGUAGGUCUUGAGUAUCGGAGAGGCAGGCGGAAUUCCUAGUGUAGCAGUGAAAUGCGUAGAUAUUAGGAAGAACACCGGUGGCGAAGGCGGCCUGCUGGACGACAACUGACGCUGAGGCGCGAAAGCGUGGGGAGCAAACAGGAUUAGAUACCCCUGUAGUC
Molecule: ribosomal RNA, 442 nt
Filed under: uncultured bacterium
Lineage: Bacteria
Description: partial 16S ribosomal RNA
Rfam family: Bacterial small subunit ribosomal RNA
Source: RNAcentral